CGUUCCCGGACCUUGUACACACCGCCCGUCAAGCCAUGGAAGCCGGGUGUACCUGAAGGUGGUGGCCUAACCGCAAGGAGGGAGCCGUCGAAGGUGGGGCCCGUGAUUGGGGUG
This 114-nucleotide ribosomal RNA is filed under the name uncultured bacterium. Its description in RNAcentral is "partial 16S ribosomal RNA". It matches the Rfam family "Bacterial small subunit ribosomal RNA", at positions 1369 to 1482 of the family's 1533-position model. The record is from RNAcentral.